CUCGACAAGGGCAAACUCGUCGUGAGACGGGGACGCAAAGCGAGAGGCCUCGAGUUCCGAGGUAGCUCAGCUACCGAAG
This 79-nucleotide non-coding RNA is filed under the name Cyanobacteriota bacterium. Its description in RNAcentral is "Cyanobacteria bacterium c-di-GMP sequence". It matches the Rfam family "c-di-GMP-I-GGC riboswitch aptamer". Lineage: Bacteria; Bacillati; Cyanobacteriota. The record is from RNAcentral.